Piliocolobus tephrosceles (Ugandan red Colobus) is the source of this 1322-nucleotide long non-coding RNA. RefSeq lists it as uncharacterized. The record is from RefSeq and is a predicted model, not a curated record. The transcript has 3 exons. Lineage: Eukaryota; Metazoa; Chordata; Mammalia; Primates; Cercopithecidae.
GGGCGGAGGGGCCUUCCGAGGGCCAGGGCACUGGGCCAGGAAGGAGGCAGCAGGCCUGCAGGAGAGGCCUGCAGAGGGGCCUCGGGCCUCAGACAAGCCCCUCUCUGGUGUCCUUGGAGCCCAGGAUACCUGGCUGGUGAUAUAAAUGCUGCUUUUUCACCAGAAGCCACAGUUCUGGGAUCUCAGAAGUGAUGGAUGAUGCUAGGCCCAACUCAUAGAUUGGCCCAUGCCAGCUAACUAGUAUGGUAGCUGGCUGGCCAUUCCCUGGGUAACUGAUCUUAAAAUGCCCUUCAGAAGCUGUCCUGCCGCCUAAGAGGUGGAGCAGUGGGGAGAACCCUCACUCCAGAACUGGAGAAUCAGGCAAGUGGAGUGAGAGAAGCAAGAAGAGGCCUGAAGGAAGCGAGGCCUGAGAGAGAUUCAGGGUCCCAUAGAGAACUGCUUCUCCAAAUGUGGUCCCUGGCCCAGCAGCAGCAACAAUGCCUGGGAGCCUAUCAGAAAUGCAGAAUCGUGGACCCUACUCAAGACUUGCUGAAUCUGAAUCUACAUGUUAAUGAGAUCCCCAGGGAUUUGUGAGCACAUUCAAGUUCAAGAAGUCCCGGGUGAGGCACACGGGCAGAUCCCCAACCCCUUCCCACUACAGGAUCACGGGGAUCUGGGAUCUGCACCAUGCUCAGUCCAGCUCCAUGGGCGCUCUGGCUCCCUCAUUGGCACAAGCAUCCCCUCGGUUAACCUUGGAACUUGAGGUCCCUGGAGGAAGCCUCCAGUUCUUAAAACCCCACAGCCAGACUAGUACAGUGAGUGGGAGGCUCUCACCCUUCUGAGUCGCCACUUCCCAAGGUAGAGGAUCUUCACUUCCUUUAUUUCUUUUCCUAGAAUGUGGGCUCUGGGUUCUAACCCAGGCUCUGCCACUUACUGACUGUGAUCCUGGAAGUUGCUAAACUUCUCUGCACCUUGGUUUUCCUUUUCUGUAAUACAGAGGUAACACAUUUUCUAGAUCAUACCUUUUUGUGGUGCAUAGAUCUAAGCAAAUACAUACGUCAUGCUUAGAAGAAUGGUUGGUAAAUAACGCCAUGAACAUUCGUCACUUGCUGUCAGCCUUCCGUCUUUCCCUCCUCUGGGUGACCCUUGGGCUGGGGUGGGAUGAAAGGAAGGUGGUGCUGACCUGUGAGGAGUCAGAGAAAGCAGUGCAAAGGCAGGGAUACUGGACUGGAGGUGACUCCUGUAGGGGGAAGAAGGAAAUGUGUUUGUAUGACACUGGGGUAUGCCAGGCUCAGUGCCAGGCACUUUCUUCCCUUCCACAGUGACACCAGGAUAGUGCUGUU